UCUCAGGGGACAACUAUACCAGACUUCUAUCAGCAAGCACUUCUUGGCAUCAGCAAUAGUAUCUGGGUUUGGCAUCUACAGAUGGGAUAGAUCCCUAAGUAGGAUAGUCUUUGGAUGGUCUUUUCUUAAGUCUCUGUUCCAUUCUUUAUCCCUGCAUUUCCUUUUGACAGGAGCAAUCCUGGGUUAAUAUUUUUAAGAUGGGUAAGUGGCCUAUCUCAACAGGGGGCCGUGACUAUCCACUGGAUAUGGUAUUUACAGGUUCUCUCUCCACUUUGUUACAUAUUUCAGCUAAUGUCAUCCCUGUUGGGUUCUGAGGCUACCCUCAGCUCCCCAUCCGCCAUCACUACACACCUCCGUUCAAUGUUCAAUUUCCUGACCGUCUGUACUUCUCCUCCAUCAGGAUCCUGCCCCCCUCCCCCCUCCCCUUUUCCUCCUCUUUCCCUUACAAAUCUCUUCCCUCCUCUACCUCCCAUGACUAUUUUCUUCCCCCUUUUGAGUAGGACUGAGGGAUCCAUACUUUAGUCUUCUUUCUUCUUCUUGAAUUUCAUAUGGUCUGUGAGUUGUAUCAUGGGUAUUCUGAGCUUUUUUUGGCUUACAUCCACUUAUCAGUGAGCACAUAUCAUGUGUGUUCUUUUGUGACUGGAUUACCUCACUAGAUUACUGUUAUUGCCCGUGUUUUAGAAUCAGUUUUAAGAUCUCUCUCCAUGACUAUAUAAUAGGACAUAUAUGUUUUAUUCUAGUUUUAAUGUGUG
RNAcentral lists this long non-coding RNA (752 nucleotides) under Rattus norvegicus (Norway rat). RNAcentral describes it as "long non-coding RNA NONRATT019354". The record is from RNAcentral. Lineage: Eukaryota; Metazoa; Chordata; Mammalia; Rodentia; Muridae.